ACUUCGGUCCCGAGUAGAGUGGCGCACGGGUGAGUAACGCGUAAGUGAUCUACCCCUGUAUUUGGGAUAACUGUGGGAAACUGCAGCUAAUACCGGAUACGUUCAUGUUCUUGCGAGUAUAUGAAGAAAGAUGGCCUCUGAUUCAAGCUAUUGUACAGGGAGGAGCUUGCGUACCAUUAGCUAGUUGGUAGGGUAAUGGCCUACCAAGGCAACGAUGGUUAGCGGGUCUGAGAGGAUGAUCCGCCACACUGGAACUGAAACACGGACCAGACUCCUACGGGAGGCAGCAGUGAGGAAUAUUGCGCAAUGGGGGAAACCCUGACGCAGCGACGCCGCGUGGAUGAUGAAGGCCUUCGGGUCGUAAAAUCCUGUCAGAUGGGAAGAAGUGUGUGGUGGUUAAUACCCGCCACAUUUGACGGUACCAUCAGAGGAAGCACCGGCUAACUCCGUGCCAGCAGCCGCGGUAAUACGGAGGGUGCAAGCGUUGUUCGGAAUUACUGGGCGUAAAGCGCGCGUAGGCGGCUUGUUAAGUCAGAUGUGAAAGCCCACGGCUCAACCGUGGACGUGCAUUUGAAACUGGCAGGCUUGAGUAUUGGAGGGGGUGGUGGAAUUCCCGGUGUAGAGGUGAAAUUCGUAGAUAUCGGGAGGAAUACCGGUGGCGAAGGCGACCACCUGGCCAAAUACUGACGCUGAGGUGCGAAAGCGUGGGGAGCAAACAGGAUUAGAUACCCUGGUAGUCCACGCCGUANACGAUGAGAACUAGGUGUUGGGACGGUUGAUCGUCUCAUNGCCGCAGCUAACGCAUUAAGUUCUCCG
RNAcentral lists this ribosomal RNA (816 nucleotides) under uncultured bacterium. RNAcentral's name for it is "bacterial SSU rRNA". It matches the Rfam family "Bacterial small subunit ribosomal RNA", at positions 77 to 871 of the family's 1533-position model. The record is from RNAcentral.